CACCCGCCCCCAUCGCCUCCAUCAAAAAGUACGGUCAAGGGAGUCGUACGCCUUAGCAAUCAAGGAGAUCAGGCAGGAAACCUCUGGGCCAUAAGCUCCGAAAGAUAAAGAAGCUUUACGGACGCCCCCUGCAUUUAUGCGGAACCUGUACCUUGUAUUAGUGAAGAACUGUCGCUAUUCUUAUAGCUUAUAUAUACUGUCGCUAUAAGAACAAACUGUCGCUAUUAUCUUUCUUUUUCCGUUUGCGGGGAUGCGACUCCUGUGUAUCGCAAAGUUGGCUGAAGCUGGAAUGCUAUCCUUGCACGGUUCUAUCUUCCCACACCUCUAUCGCUGCGCAAUCGUCAGGUGGUUGGCAUGUCUUUUGCCGACCGUUGACAUUAUGUUCAUCUACCUUCAACUGCCUUGCAUAUCAUCCUGGACAUUUUAAGGACUGGCACUGCUCGGCGGCUUUUGGGAGACACCUCCCGAGUGGUUUCACUUGCAUCUUCCAUCAUGUACACUGCUUAGUGGUUGACAAUAUGAUAACAUGGAUACUUGCGACCUCCUUCCAAGUACUAAACAUCAUACAUACUAAGGCAGGCGGCUGGCAGAAGUUAAGGCCUGACUUCUGCUCCCAGUCGAUCCAGUCGACCCGGGUUCAAAUCCGCCUGCCAGCUCCUCGGGUAUUUGAGGAGUGAUGAAAUGGGAGGUGGCCCCCCAUCAUAUGGACGGUGUAGGACGUGAUAAUAUCAACUUGCGAGCUGACCAGGAACUAAGUUGAUGCGCCGUUGAUCCGCUAGAUUUGGUUGGAUGCUGGUGGUGAGUUGCCGAACCCAACGAAUACAUUCUGAAGUCGGAUGGGGUGACGGAUUAGGGUGCCCCUCUAGCAGGGGAGAGCAGGGACUGCCCCGGGAAAGGGGGCCGCUGGCGAAGUUAACCACCCUGUAAUAACAUACAUACUAAACGAAGAAAUGGCACUUAAUAGAUGGCCCAACGUGUGAAUAUUCAUACACCAUCGGACGGAGACAACAUACAACGGUUGGGUGGUGUUGAAAAACACCGAGUUGAAUAUAAUGGAUGAGCAUUUAGCAGAUUGUUUAG
Molecule: long non-coding RNA, 1080 nt
Filed under: Volvox carteri
Lineage: Eukaryota; Viridiplantae; Chlorophyta; Chlorophyceae; Chlamydomonadales; Volvocaceae
Description: long non-coding RNA (VCAR_LNC000443)
Source: RNAcentral